GUAGUCAUAUGCUUGUCUCAAAGAUUAAGCCAUGCAUGUCUAAGUAUAAGCAACUAUACGGUGAAACUGCGAAUGGCUCAUUAAAUCAGUUAUAGUUUAUUUGAUAGUACCUUACUACUUGGAUAACCGUGGUAAUUCUAGAGCUAAUACAUGCGCAAAACCCCGACUUCGGAAGGGGUGUAUUUAUUAGAUAAAAAACCAAUGCCCUUCGGGGCUCUCUGGUGAUUCAUAAUAACUAAACGAAUCGCAUGGCCUUGCGCCGGCGAUGGUUCAUUCAAAUUUCUGCCCUAUCAACUUUCGAUGGUAAGGUAUUGGCUUACCAUGGUUUCAACGGGUAACGGGGAAUUAGGGUUCGAUUCCGGAGAGGGAGCCUGAGAAACGGCUACCACAUCCAAGGAAGGCAGUAGGCGCGCAGAUUACCCAAUCCCGACACGGGGAGGUAGUGACAAUAAAUACUGAUACAGGGCUCUUUUGGGUCUUGUAAUUGGAAUGAGUACAAUUUAAACCUCUUAACGAGGAACAAUUGGAGGGCAAGUCUGGUGCCAGCAGCC
Molecule: ribosomal RNA, 551 nt
Filed under: uncultured eukaryote
Lineage: Eukaryota
Description: SSU rRNA
Rfam family: Eukaryotic small subunit ribosomal RNA
Source: RNAcentral